RNAcentral lists this ribosomal RNA (216 nucleotides) under Glomeromycotina sp. Its description in RNAcentral is "partial small subunit ribosomal RNA". The stretch from base 40 to 216 matches the Rfam family "Eukaryotic small subunit ribosomal RNA", at positions 686 to 864 of the family's 1831-position model. Lineage: Eukaryota; Fungi; Glomeromycota. The record is from RNAcentral.
GGGUCAGUAGGUUGGUCGUGCCACCGGUACGUACUGGUCUCACUGAUUCCUCCUUCCUGAAGAACUGUAAUGCCAUUAAUUUGGUGUUGCGGGGAAACAGGACUGUUACUUUGAAAAAAUUAGAGUGUUUAAAGCAAGCUAACGCUUGUAUACAUUAGCAUGGAAUAAUGAAAUAGGACGAUCGAUCCUAUUUUGUUGGUUUCUAGGAUUGACGUA